CUUUACGUGUUGUUUUCAUUCUUCUCCUCUUUGCCUAAUCGAUCUUGUUUACAGGUUUCAGCCGAUGACAUCGUCAUCAGUCAGUCAUCUUCAAUUUCCACCCAAACCCUUUUAACCUUCCCUUUUCAAGUGUCUUAAAUUUAAACUUUUCCCAAAUCACCUAUUCGAGUCGUCGAUCGCUACCGCCGCUCUAAUCCCUCUCCAGACCCAAGUAAUUUGACAAUUUCAUAGAUGCACCCAUGAUUAGUACUCCACGUUUACCUCCAACGUAUGGAAGGUUUCUACAUUUAAUGAUCCAAUGAAGGCUUUCGGUUUGUUGAAUUGCUAUUCCUUUUUAUUUCAUACGAACCAAUCACAUCUAAAGCCUACAAUUUUGCUGCCAAAGGUCGAGAGACUUCACAUUGGAUGAAUAUUGUUCCGAAAAAGGCAACCAGAGGUUAAGACGGUAAAUGAUCCUUUGAUUUCGUGUGCAUAAAUCAGUACUCCAGUUAUAAUAUGGAACCACAUCGAGAUAAGACAAAGCCCCUUGGCUACCAGUAGGAUUGGGAAGUUGGAUUUCCUUGAAUGGAUGAUCCAGGGAACUUAACUCUCAAGGCUUUGAUACCACAAAGAUCAACUACUACAAGAGCUAUUUAGCAGAAUUGAUGAAAACAAUCAUUGAGGAAGCCAACGUGAUCAGAUUGCCCAUGCCAUCAGAAAGCUGCCUCCUACAAAGGCUAAGAGGUAUUUAUAGGACGUAUUGAUCCACAAACAACCCAUACCCUUCACUCGUUUCUGUCCAGGUAUUGGAUGAACAACUCAGGUGAAAAACAGACACUGUAAAGAUAGUCGAUGUAGCUUGAAUGAAGAUGGAACAAAGGAUGCAAAACAAGCUGAAGGUUGUUGAGCAACAAUUCAAUUCUACGUUGCAGUCUUCGCAUCAUUCUAUUGACCAACUAUUUGGUAAAGUUCCUAGUUUCGUUGUACCACCGUUUACACCAUUGUCAAUAGAGAAUAAUGCUAAUGAGGAAGAUGAAUGUUAUUGAGUACGAAGAGAAUAACUUUGGUGAGGAUCGGUUGCAUAUCUAAUUCACGAGGAUGAAGAGUUAUUUCUUUAAGUGCAUUAUAAUAGAUAUAGAGCAUGUUUGCUA
Molecule: long non-coding RNA, 1130 nt
Organism: Olea europaea var. sylvestris
Lineage: Eukaryota; Viridiplantae; Streptophyta; Magnoliopsida; Lamiales; Oleaceae
Exons: 4
Source: RefSeq, a predicted model, not a curated record